AGCGCAGGCGGGAAGACAAGUUGGAAGUGAAAUCCAUGGGCUCAACCCAUGAACUGCUUUCAAAACUGUUUUUCUUGAGUAGUGCAGAGGUAGGCGGAAUUCCCGGUGUAGCGGUGGAAUGCGUAGAUAUCGGGAGGAACACCAGUGGCGAAGGCGGCCUACUGGGCACCAACUGACGCUGAGGCUCGAAAGUGUGAGUAGCAAACA
Molecule: ribosomal RNA, 207 nt
Filed under: uncultured bacterium
Lineage: Bacteria
Description: partial 16S ribosomal RNA
Rfam family: Bacterial small subunit ribosomal RNA
Source: RNAcentral